RNAcentral lists this ribosomal RNA (253 nucleotides) under uncultured bacterium. Its description in RNAcentral is "partial 16S ribosomal RNA". It matches the Rfam family "Bacterial small subunit ribosomal RNA", at positions 524 to 776 of the family's 1533-position model. The record is from RNAcentral.
UACGAAUGGGGCAAGCGUUGUUCGGAAUCACUGGGCUUAAAGCGUGCGCAGGCGGUCUUGCAAGUCAGGAGUGAAAUCCCGGGGCUUAACCCCGGAAUUGCUUCUGAAACUGCAAGACUAGAAUAUGGGAGAGGUUAGCAGAAUUCCGAGUGUAGAGGUGAAAUUCGCAGAUAUUCGGAGGAAUACCAGUGGCGAAGGCGGCUAACUGGACCAUUAUUGACGCUCAGGCACGAAAGCGUGGGGAGCAAACAGG